AUUCUUACUCCAUCAAUUUCAGUCCUUUCUGCGGUGAGUGGGAUCAGUACAUCGUUGGGUCAAGGAGCUGUUGUGGGGAUCACUAUAGCAAUCUUGGUAGUCCUAUUUUGUAUGCAACGAUUUG
Cajanus cajan (pigeon pea) is the source of this 124-nucleotide non-coding RNA. The record is from RefSeq and is a predicted model, not a curated record. Lineage: Eukaryota; Viridiplantae; Streptophyta; Magnoliopsida; Fabales; Fabaceae.